This 73-nucleotide transfer RNA is filed under the name Ixodes scapularis (black-legged tick). Its description in RNAcentral is "tRNA-Ser for anticodon GGA". It matches the Rfam family "tRNA". From Rfam's summary of the family: Transfer RNA (tRNA) molecules are approximately 80 nucleotides in length. Their secondary structure includes four short double-helical elements and three loops (D, anti-codon, and T loops). Further hydrogen bonds mediate the characteristic L-shaped molecular structure. tRNAs have two regions of fundamental functional importance: the anti-codon, which is responsible for specific mRNA codon recognition, and the 3' end, to which the tRNAs corresponding amino acid is attached (by aminoacyl-tRNA synthetases). tRNAs cope with the degeneracy of the genetic code in two manners: having more than one tRNA (with a specific anti-codon) for a particular amino acid; and 'wobble' base-pairing, i.e. permitting non-standard base-pairing at the 3rd anti-codon position. The record is from RNAcentral. Lineage: Eukaryota; Metazoa; Arthropoda; Arachnida; Ixodida; Ixodidae.
CCCUGGGUAGCUCCGUGGGUAGAGCGCUCCACUGGAAAUGGAGAGGUUCCGGGUUCGAUACCCGGACCAGGCG